CUACGUGCCAGCAGCCGCGGUAAUACGUAGGUGGCAAGCGUUGUCCGGAAUUAUUGGGCGUAAAGCGCGCGCAGGCGGAUUGGUCAGUCUGUCUUAGAAGUUCGGGGCUUAACCCCGUGAUGGGAUGGAAACUGCCAAUCUAGAGUAUCGGAGAGGAAAGUGGAAUUCCUAGUGUAGCGGUGAAAUGCGUAGAUAUUAGGAAGAACACCAGUGGCGAAGGCGACUUUCUGGACGAAAACUGACGCUGAGGCGCGAAAGCCAGGGGAGCGAACGGGAUUAGAUACCCCGGUAGUCCUGGCCGUAAACGAUGGGUACUAGGUGUAGGAGGUAUCGACCCCUUCUGUGCCGGAGUUAACGCAAUAAGUACCCCGCCUGGGGAGUACGACCGCAAGGUUGAAACUCAAAGGAAUUGACGGGGGCCCGCACAAGCGGUGGAGUAUGUGGUUUAAUUCGACGCAACGCGAAGAACCUUACCAGGUCUUGACAUUGAUGGACAGAACUAGAGAUAG
Molecule: ribosomal RNA, 509 nt
Filed under: uncultured bacterium
Lineage: Bacteria
Description: bacterial SSU rRNA
Rfam family: Bacterial small subunit ribosomal RNA
Source: RNAcentral